GAUUCUGGCUCAGGACGAACGCUGGCGGCGUGCUUAACACAUGCAAGUCGAACGGUAAGGCCCUUCGGGGUACACGAGUGGCGAACGGGUGAGUAACACGUGGGUGAUCUGCCCUGCACUUUGGGAUAAGCCUGGGAAACUGGGUCUAAUACCGAAUAGGACCAUGGACUUCACGGUUUGUGGUGGAAAGCUUUUGCGGUGUGGGAUGGGCCCGCGGCCUAUCAGCUUGUUGGUGGGGUAAUGGCCUACCAAGGCGACGACGGGUAGCCGGCCUGAGAGGGUGACCGGCCACACUGGGACUGAGAUACGGCCCAGACUCCUACGGGAGGCAGCAGUGGGGAAUAUUGCACAAUGGGCGCAAGCCUGAUGCAGCAACGCCGCGUGAGGGAUGACGGCCUCGG
RNAcentral lists this ribosomal RNA (401 nucleotides) under uncultured bacterium. RNAcentral describes it as "bacterial SSU rRNA". It matches the Rfam family "Bacterial small subunit ribosomal RNA", at positions 15 to 420 of the family's 1533-position model. The record is from RNAcentral.